GGUCGAUUAGCUCAGUCGGUUAGAGCGUGGUGCUAAUAGACUGUGACACUGAUCGGUCUUGGAGACGCCAAGGUCGCGAGUUCGACCCUCGUAUUGACCA
Molecule: non-coding RNA, 100 nt
Organism: Polychaeton citri CBS 116435
Lineage: Eukaryota; Fungi; Ascomycota; Dothideomycetes; Capnodiales; Capnodiaceae
Source: the annotation of a GenBank genome assembly